Caenorhabditis elegans is the source of this 81-nucleotide non-coding RNA. Lineage: Eukaryota; Metazoa; Nematoda; Chromadorea; Rhabditida; Rhabditidae. The record is from Ensembl.
AAAAUAUUUAUUUUGAGCUUAGUUAUGAUCCUUUAAAGUUGGUGGCCUAGAAAACCAAUUUUUAAAUUUACUAGGCCACCA